UACGUAGGGACCGAGCGUUGUCCGGAUUCAUUGGGCGUAAAGAGCUCGUAGGCGGCCACUCAAGUCGAAUGUGAAACCUCGAGGCUUAACCUCGAGCCUGCAUUCGAUACUGGGCGGCUAGAGUCUGGUAGGGGGAUCUGGAAUUCCUGGUGUAGCGGUGGAAUGCGCAGAUAUCAGGAGGAACACCAAUUGCGAAGGCAGCUCGCUGGGACGUUACUGACGCUGAGACGCGAAAGCGUGGGGAGCAAACAGG
This 253-nucleotide ribosomal RNA is filed under the name uncultured bacterium. RNAcentral describes it as "partial 16S ribosomal RNA". It matches the Rfam family "Bacterial small subunit ribosomal RNA", at positions 524 to 776 of the family's 1533-position model. The record is from RNAcentral.